Molecule: transfer RNA, 68 nt
Filed under: Leptocentrus albolineatus
Lineage: Eukaryota; Metazoa; Arthropoda; Insecta; Hemiptera; Membracidae
Also listed under: 1 other name
Description: tRNA-Met
Source: RNAcentral
AAAAAGAUAAGCUAAGUCAAAGCUAGUAGGCCCAUAACCUAAAUAUAGAAUUAAUAAUCUUCUUUUUA